RNAcentral lists this ribosomal RNA (433 nucleotides) under uncultured bacterium. Its description in RNAcentral is "bacterial SSU rRNA". It matches the Rfam family "Bacterial small subunit ribosomal RNA", at positions 94 to 526 of the family's 1533-position model. The record is from RNAcentral.
AGCGGCGCACGGGUGCGGAACACGUGUGCAACCUACCUUUAUCAGGGGGAUAGCCUUUCGAAAGGAAGAUUAAUACCCCAUAAUAUAUUAGAUGGCAUCAUUUGAUAUUGAAAACUCCGGUGGAUAGAGAUGGGCACGCGCAAGAUUAGAUAGUUGGUGAGGUAACGGCUCACCAAGUCAGUGAUCUUUAGGGGGCCUGAGAGGGUGAUCCCCCACACUGGUACUGAGACACGGACCAGACUCCUACGGGAGGCAGCAGUGAGGAAUAUUGGACAAUGGGUGAGAGCCUGAUCCAGCCAUCCCGCGUGAAGGAUGACGGCCCUAUGGGUUGUAAACUUCUUUUGUAUAGGGAUAAACCUUUCCACGUGUGGAAAGCUGAAGGUACUAUACGAAUAACCACCGGCUAACUCCGUGCCAGCAGCCGCGGUAAUAC